This is a long non-coding RNA of Rhincodon typus (whale shark), 495 nucleotides long. RefSeq lists it as uncharacterized. NCBI's taxonomy places the organism in Eukaryota, Metazoa, Chordata, Chondrichthyes, Orectolobiformes, Rhincodontidae. The transcript has 3 exons. The record is from RefSeq and is a predicted model, not a curated record.
CAAAAGGUGAAAGGUCACUGUCCUAACAGCCGUUAAAAGGGCCGUUGAGGGGAUUACAUUGCCAACGCUCUUUGACCGUUGGAGUCGCUUAGUCGCAGAUAUACUUGGGGUUUACAGUCCUGUAUGAUGCCCCCAGCCUAUCAGUGAUGAGACCUGAUUUGACACUGCUCCCAGAAUCUUGCCGAAACUCCAUCAAGCUGUCUUCCUCCAUGAUUGGACACAAUGAUUCCUUGGACACCGUGCCUUACCGCAAGCUCAGCAUCCUCUUUUGUCAGGAUGCCCUUCAGAAUGAUCGGGAGAUCAGUUAGAGAGCGUAGCCAUUGGAUAUCUGACCAGGUUACUGCCGGAUCCAAAACAUCGUUGCAGAGAGGAAGAUUGUCGUUACGAUCUUUAUCCUUCUGUAUCACAAAAUGAUGUGAGGACUGUAUUACUUAGGUAUGGGAAUGUAUUGCUUAUUUCUGAUAUUCUGUGAAAUAAACAGCACAAAGGUCACUA